Molecule: unclassified non-coding RNA, 333 nt
Filed under: Hevea brasiliensis (rubber tree)
Lineage: Eukaryota; Viridiplantae; Streptophyta; Magnoliopsida; Malpighiales; Euphorbiaceae
Source: RNAcentral
AGUUCUUUGCUGGGGGUAUAUUCUUGUUGCUAUCCUUUCAUGCUACAUGGUGGAUGUUGAUUGGUUGAUGUCUGGUGGGUACUUUUAAGUCUGUGUGAUAUGCAUUUAUUUUUUUUUAUAUAUUUUUUUAGUAAAUUCUUCAGAUUUGGAUCCAUUUUUGUUCUGGGAGGGGCUCUUAUAGUAACAAUAAACAGCUUGAGAGAUUCAAGUUUUCUUUCACAAUUGUUGAGUAUGCUUCAAGAAGAAAGUUUUCUUAUUUAAGAGGCUAUUUUUACUCCCACAAACAUGCUUGCCAAGUAUGUUGGUGCUCUUUGUUUCUUUUCUAUGCAUUUA